ACUGCCAAGGACUUUUUAAAUCAGCUUAUGCGCAUGGUCCCUUCCACCUCUGACCUUCAACAUGUGGCCCUUACCGUAGCCCUAGUAGGGGCCGUGGUAGUAGGGCUAGCGUGCCUUUUGCCUUUUCUGGUGCGCAGAGGAAUCAGCGCUUUGACGCUUCUCCAAGCAGACCUACAUGAGGUCAAGCUCAAGGCCGGCCCACAAGGGCCUCUACAUGUUGUAUAGAAUCAUAUUUUUAAGCUUGAUUGCCUCCAUGGGAAGCAGACAGGUAGUCAGAGUGCUGCAUCUCGCCGCAGGGCGAGACUGGGUACUGGCUAGGUGCAGAGCAAAGCAUCUGCUAGGGAAGGCCUUAUAAUAAUUGGCCGCCUCUGACUUCCUCUGAAGGUAUGUCUGAUUUGCAUAGAGGUUGGUAUCAUCUAAUGAAAAUAUAAAAAGGGCUCUGCCUCUCCUCCCCAAAAGAUACCAAGAGCCUAAGGAGUGGCUGAUGAGCCACGGGAGGAAUCAGACCUCUACUUCCCUAGCCAGUUAAGGCCCACCCUGGUUCCUUUAUUAUAAAGGAAAGGGGGAGAUGUGGGAAACCGUGAGAGGCAAUCAGGUGUAUAAUCCAGCAACCUUGUUUUCCCCACUUAGCUGAAACCUUUUGUUUCACGUAUCUAGGUUUGAACAAUGUGGCAGGGUCAAGAAUGCAGUAUGUUUUCCAUAACAGGAACAAAGAUGAGAAAGUUAGCGGAGUGAGAAGUUCCG
Molecule: long non-coding RNA, 744 nt
Organism: Eptesicus fuscus (big brown bat)
Lineage: Eukaryota; Metazoa; Chordata; Mammalia; Chiroptera; Vespertilionidae
Exons: 2
Source: RefSeq, a predicted model, not a curated record